This 460-nucleotide ribosomal RNA is filed under the name uncultured bacterium. RNAcentral's name for it is "partial 16S ribosomal RNA". It matches the Rfam family "Bacterial small subunit ribosomal RNA", at positions 338 to 795 of the family's 1533-position model. The record is from RNAcentral.
ACUACGGGAGGCAGCAGUGAGGAAUAUUGGUCAAUGGGCGCGAGCCUGAACCAGCCAAGUAGCGUGAAGGAUGACUGCCCUACGGGUUGUAAACUUCUUUUAUAAAGGAAUAAAGUGAGGCACGUGUGCCUUUUUGUAUGUACUUUAUGAAUAAGGAUCGGCUAACUCCGUGCCAGCAGCCGCGGUAAUACGGGGGAUCCGAGCGUUAUCCGGAUUUAUUUGGUUUAAAGGGAGCGUAGGUGGGUUGUUAAGUCAGGUGUGAAAGUUUUCGGCUCAACCGUAAAAUUGCAAUUGAUACUGGCAGUCUUGAGUACAGUUGAGGUAGGCGGAAUUCGUGGUGGAGCGGUGAAAUGCUUAGAUAUCACGAAGAACUCCGAGUGCGAAGGCAGCUUACUAAACUGCCACUGACAUUGAUGCUCGAAAGUGUGGGGAUCAAACAGGAUUAGAUACCCGGGUAGUC